AUGAAAAAUCUUACACUGGAGAGAAACCCUAUGAGUGUAAGUAAUGUGGGAAAGCCUUUGUUUCUUUCACUUCUUUUCAAUAUCAUGAAAGGACUCACACUGGAGAGAACCCCUAUGAGUGUAAGCAAUGUGGGAAAGCCUUCAGAUCUACCUCACACCUUUGACAGCAUGGUAGGACUCACACUGGAGAGAAACCCUAUGAAUGUAAGCAAUGUGGGAAAGCCUUCAGAUCUGUCAAAAAUCUUCGAAUUCAUAAAAGGACACACACUGGAGAGAAACCCUAUGAAUGUUAAGAAAUGUGAAAAAGCGUUCCAUAAUUUCUCUUCUUUGCAAAUACAUGAAAGGAUGCACAGAGGAGAGAAGCCCUGUGAAUGUAAGCAUUGUGGGAAAGCAUUCAUAUCUGCCAAGAUCCUUUGAAUACAUGCAAGAACACACAAUGGAGAGAAACUCUAUGAAUGUAAAGAACGCAGAAAAGCAUUCAGCUUGCCUACUUCCUUUCAUAGACAUGAAAAGACUCACACUGGAAGGAAACCCUAUGAAGGCAAGCAAUGUGGCAAAGCUUUCACUUCUUCCAGUUCUUUUCAAUAUCAUGAAAUAACUCACACCAGGGAGAAACCCUAUCAGUGUAAGCAAUGUGUGAAAGCCUUUAUUUCUUCCACUUCUUUUCAAUAUCAUGAAAGGACUCACAUGGGAGAGAAACCCUAUGAAUGCAAGCAAUGUAGGAAAGCCUUCAGAUCAGCCUCACACCUUCAAAUGCAUGGAAGGACUCACACUGGAGAGAAACCCUAUGAAUGUAAGCAGUAUGGGAAAGCAUUCAGACCUGACAAGAUUCUUUGAAUACAGAUAAUGAAUGUAAACAAUUAACUUUAUAAUAAAUGUAUACUAACAAAUGUUAUUCUUUUUAAAUAAGAAGCUAUAAUAAAAUAUCCCAUUGGUGUCAUGUAUUAGAUCAAA
This is an RNA transcript of Nomascus leucogenys (northern white-cheeked gibbon), 954 nucleotides long. It is a transcript of the gene named zinc finger protein 440-like, with no coding region annotated. The record is from RefSeq and is a predicted model, not a curated record. NCBI's taxonomy places the organism in Eukaryota, Metazoa, Chordata, Mammalia, Primates, Hylobatidae. The transcript has a single exon.